AUGCUAUGGAGAUGGACGGCCAGUGGCACCUACACGGCAAAGUCCUGCUACGCUGCAACCUUCCAUGGGUCCAUGAAAUGCCCCUCUUGGAAGCUUACCUGGAAGAGCUGGGCGUCGUGCCGCUUCCGUUUCUUUCACUGGCUGGCCAGCCAGGACCGGUGUUGGACGGCAAAAAGACUCGCUCGUCGUGGCCUACAGCACCACCCACGAUGCCUCCUUUGUGAUCAAGCCCCAGAGACAAUGAGGCACCUGCUCCUAGAAUGCCCGUUUGCGCGGUAA
This 279-nucleotide ribosomal RNA is filed under the name Triticum aestivum (bread wheat). Its description in RNAcentral is "partial small subunit ribosomal RNA". The record is from RNAcentral. Lineage: Eukaryota; Viridiplantae; Streptophyta; Magnoliopsida; Poales; Poaceae.